GGGUGAGUAACACGUAGGUAACCUGCCCCGGAGCGGGGGAUAACAUUUGGAAACAGAUGCUAAUACCGCAUAACAACGAAAGCCACAUGGCUUUUGUUUGAAAGAUGGCUUUGGCUAUCACUCUGGGAUGGACCUGCGGUGCAUUAGCUAGUUGGUAAGGUAACGGCUUACCAAGGCGAUGAUGCAUAGCCGAGUUGAGAGACUGAUCGGCCACAAUGGAACUGAGACACGGUCCAUACUCCUACGGGAGGCAGCAGUAGGGAAUCUUCCACAAUGGGCGCAAGCCUGAUGGAGCAACACCGCGUGAGUGAAGAAGGGUUUCGGCUCGUAAAGCUCUGUUGUUGGAGAAGAACGUGCGUGAGAGUAACUGUUCACGCAGUGACGGUAUCCAACCAGAAAGUCACGGCUAACUACGUGCCAGCAGCCGCGGUAAUACGUAGGUGGCAAGCGUUAUCCGGAUUUAUUGGGCGUAAAGCGAGCGCAGGCGGUUGCUUAGGUCUGAUGUGAAAGCCUUCGGCUUAACCGAAGAAGUGCAUCGGAAACCGGGUGACUUGAGUGCAGAAGAGGACAGUGGAACUCCAUGUGUAGCGGUGGAAUGCGUAGAUAUAUGGAAGAACACCAGUGGCGAAGGCGGCUGUCUGGUCUGCAACUGACGCUGAGGCUCGAAAGCAUGGGUAGCGAACGGGAUUAGAUACCCUGGUAGUCCAUGCCGUAAACGAU
RNAcentral lists this ribosomal RNA (720 nucleotides) under uncultured bacterium. RNAcentral's name for it is "bacterial SSU rRNA". It matches the Rfam family "Bacterial small subunit ribosomal RNA", at positions 104 to 810 of the family's 1533-position model. The record is from RNAcentral.